RNAcentral lists this ribosomal RNA (310 nucleotides) under uncultured fungus. RNAcentral's name for it is "SSU rRNA". It matches the Rfam family "Eukaryotic small subunit ribosomal RNA", at positions 39 to 352 of the family's 1831-position model. The record is from RNAcentral. Lineage: Eukaryota; Fungi.
AAAGAUUAAGCCAUGCAUGUCUAAGCAUAAGCAAUCUAUACUGUGAAACUGCGAAUGGCUCAUUAAAUCAGUUAUCGUUUAUUUGAUAGUACCUUACUACUUGGAUAACCGUGGUAAUUCUAGAGCUAAUACAUGCUAAAAACCCCGACUUUUGGAGGGGUGUAUUUAUUAGAUAAAAAACCAAUGCCCUUCGGGGCUCCUUGGUGAUUCAUAAUAACUUAACGAGUCGCAUGGCCUUGUGCCGGCGAUGGUUCAUUCGAAUUUCUGCCCUAUCAACUUUCGAUGGUUAGGUCUUGGCUAACCAUGGUUU